Rattus norvegicus (Norway rat) is the source of this 6160-nucleotide non-coding RNA. Lineage: Eukaryota; Metazoa; Chordata; Mammalia; Rodentia; Muridae. The record is from RefSeq and is a predicted model, not a curated record.
GGCCCCAGGUCACACAACCACACUCAAGAGCCACCCCUCUCAGCAAGAGCCGAGAAACCUCCCAGCACUAACACAUGGUACAUUCAGUGGUCCUGAGUCCUACGUCUGCGGCACCCAUGGAUUCAACCAAGCUUGCAUGAGGAACAUUGGAGGAAAAGAUUCCGUCUGUUCUGAACGUGUGCAGCAUUUUUGUGGCUGAUACCUAGGCAGUGCAUAAUGAGGAUGGACAUCGUAUUGGGUACGAGAUUCCCUUGUGCAUCUGGAUCCUGCCUCGACCUCCAGGCCAUCGACCGCAUACAUUAUUGAUGUGUAGAAGAUGGCUGGUGGUGUGGGGUGGUCUGCUAUGCUCACAGAGAAAAGGCAUGCUACAACCAGAAGGUACAUGGGAAGAGGAGCUCCUUAAACAAGAACCCCACUCAGGCAAAUAUAGGGGUGGGAUGCACCCUGGAUAUUGACCGUUGGCUCGUAGUGUAGUCAUAAUAGUGUCAUGGUGUCUCCAUCAGGGACACCCUGUCAUUUAUUUAACUGUGUCCUGUGCACUGAUCCCUUAAACCCCAUCACAGUAAAAAACUUCUCCUGAUGUUUCUAAACUUGUACUAGAGGCUGGCUACUGGGAAAAGGCACUGGCUGCCAAGCCUGACAACCUAAGUUAGAUCCCUGGGACUCACAGUAGAAAGAAAAGAACCAAUACCUGUAAGUUCUGUGUAUAUGUUGCACGUGCACACACACAAGGGACAUGGCUACAUAGUGUCCUUUGGUGAGACAUCAUUCUGAACAGUCACUUGUCAGGGCUGGGAUACUAGGAACCAAAAUUUAGGAACUAGAUGGGACAGAACAAGCUGCCAUGGGUCCACAGCAAGGUGGAGGGGCUCCUGGUGAUGGCGAGUCUCCCUUUUAAGAGUCAUCUGCGGUAAACUCCAUUAAAAGAGUUCUCAGCCGCACACCCUAGGCAAUCUCUCUAGUUUUAUACCCAAUUCCAUCUUCCCUUGGGGAUGAAGAAAUGAUGUUUGGGAAGAGGCUUCCAGAAUCUGGAUCUCUCAUCUGUGCACCCUUUGACCGGUGGAUCUCAACCAGAGGCAAUUUCGGAUGUCACAACUGGAGAGGGGACAACGGGCAUCUGUUGAAUAGACUAGGCCUACAACGACAAUAGCAGUCAUCACCCAACAGAGUGACACAGGCCAAUACCAAUGACCAGACUGAGGUUGAGGAAGGCUGGUUUUACCCAUCUAAGUCAAAACUGGUGAGAGACGCUAGGAAGCCCACCAGGUCUUGGUCAGGCCCGGAAUUUGCCACCUUUCUUUGCAAGAACUUGGCUUUCUUUUAGCUCCACCCGGAAUUUCAGGUGAAGCUCCUCCUCCAAGGUCUUGGCUGUAAACUGCAACUCAGUUUCCUCAGCUCCUCUCACUGGCUUCCUGCUUCACCUGGGCACCCCAACCUGAAAUGAGCAGUGCCAAGUCGGCACCCACACCUCUGAACCCACGCAGUGUCCUUGCACACAGAGUCUUCGUUUCCUUUCUGACACAGGAAGUGGACCCUCUCGUGCUCUCUGUUUUCAUGGCCACAGGUAAAGCCCUUUUCUCCUUCCAGGGUGGAUAUGGGUUUUGCAGCAGCAUCUGGUUCUCUGAUUUCUGGAACUAGAGCCCAACUUCCCUCUGGAGCUGGGCGUCUGGUCUGAGUCAAGUGGCAGAAGUCCUUAGAAGUAGAGCUAGUGUAGAGACCAAGGGGCCUUUAGCAGGUGGGGCUUGAUGGGUCACCUUUGAUAGCUAAUGGCCUGGCUUUUUAGAUCCAGCAGCAGAGUCCUGGUCUAUGGCCAUGUGAACGACCGAUGCCAUACACUGCCACCGCCAUGCCAUCCCGCCAGGAUGAAAUCUCAACCGUGAACCAAAAUAUCCCUUUCAUUUUGUUUUGAUCAGUUAUUUUGUGUGUCAAGAAAUGUAGCUGUGAUGGGUUAUAUCAACUUGAUAGGCUCUGGACUCACCUAGGAGACAAGUUCUUGGACAUGACCAUGAGGAGUUGAUUAUCUGGAUUAGGCUAACCGAGCUGGGUAUACCCAUACUAAAAGUAGGCCACACCAUACACUGGGCUGAGGUCCCAGACUGCAUAAGGAGACCAUGAGCUGAGCACUAACGUUCAUCCCUCCCUACCUCCUGAUUGUGUAUUCAGUGUGACCAGCUGCCUUAAGAUCCUACAGCUUUGACUUCUCUGUCCUGAUCAAUUAUACCCUCCAACUUUGACCCGAGAUAAACCCUUUCUCCUCUUAAGUUCUGAUGUCGGAGUCUAUUCUUAUAGCAACGAGAGAAGUAGAAUUGUAGGUAAUGCAGCAUCCAGGUAGGCUUGGCCAAUCUGGACACUGUCCUACUCUGGCUGAAAUGAUUGGUUCACAAAUAGGUACAUGGCCUGAAAUAGAUCAGUGAAUUAUCAGGAGGAUUUGACCUGUUUGAGAGUGAGGUUGACUGGGAGGCAACGGCUAGGGGGUUGAUCUGAGUUCUAUCCCAUUGAAAGGCAGCUGGAAUUACCAGCAUCCAAUGAACUACAUCAUUUGAAUGAAACCAAUUUGAUCUGGGUUUCUGCCACUUGUCAACAAGUUCUCAAAAACCCAGAGUAAUGGCCUCUUUUUGCCCCAUAUCUAGGCAUAUAGAUGAAACCAGGCAUGGCUAGACACCACAGGAGAGAGCUCAGUUGUCGAAAAGUAGUCACUAUUUGUCUCUGAGGAUGAUUGUAGGGUGUGACCUCCCAAUUCCACAGAACUAUGUAUGGAAUGGGGAGGGUUACACUGAAUCCAAAGCCACUUGCUCACAUAGGGUUUCUAGGGGGUCAUAUAUUUCUGUCACAUUGAUAACUACAGUAACUGCUUCCCGGGCUCCCAGACACAUGUAGUUAACAUCUAAGAAUCUGCCUAAGGGAAUAAGAUAUGGUGGUACAGGCCUGUAAUCCUGGUAUUUGGGAGGUUGGAGAGAGAGGAUCAUAGCCAGCCUGGGCUACAUGGUAACUUCUAGUCCAGCCUGAGCUACUAUCAUUGAGAAACUUUAGCUCACAAAUCAAACAAGCUGACAUAAUCUACAGAACAAUCCUAGAGGCAAGUGCUAAGGCUGUCUCAUUUCAUCGAGAUAAUGCUGUGCAGAAUGGGGAGAGGAGCUGCUUGACCAAGGUCACAUGCUGACAGAAGAGUGGAGCCUGAGGCAAACAAGUGUCUUAUUGUUGCUGGGCUUUCUCUAGACCAGAACUUGUAGGAGAGUCACUGGUGACUUUUGCUUGGCAACUGAUCUGCAAGAGUCCUCCCUGCCCCCACUUCAUAUUAUGCCAGGGCAUUUGAUCCCUGACUUUGUUGUAUGGAUCACAAUGUGUGUGUGUGUGUGUGUGUGUGUGUGUGUGUGUGUGUGUGUGUGUGUGUCUGUGCACUAUUGUCCUCAUCCAAGCAGACACUUCAGACUAGAGGUUGACUUUGGAUGUUUUCCUUUAUGAUGGGCCACAUUUUUUGAGACAUGGGGCCUCUCGCCGAUCCUGGAUUUGAGAGUCCAUUCUAUAGACUGCCCGGUAAGCCUCUGUGUGUCUCCAACACCCAGCACUGGAGUUAGAGAUGUGGAUGGCCACAGGGAUGCUUGCAGUUUUACCUCCAGCUCAGUUUCCCCUUAUUCACCUUUUGGCAUGUUCCUCUCCACCCACCAGCAGCUCGGGCCCUCAUCCGUUUGCUCUGGCCUUCAGCUGCUGAAAGAAUGGCCUUACCUUACAGGCUCUAACUCUCGCAGGGCUUCUAAGGGUGCAUACCGGGUGCCAUCAUUUCCUUAUGUACAGGAGGGAAGGAGGCUGAGGGGGGGGCUUAACUCAGAGACUCUUAGACUGCCUCAGGCCUGCAGGCCACACUCAGGUGCAGACUUCUGUUCAUCUGUCCUUCUGUCUGUCUGAAUGAGGCCAUGAAGAGAAGGAGCCCCAAGCAGGCCCUACCCCUUCUACCUGAAAUGCCCCUCGUCAGGUAACCCCCUCCUUUCAAUCAGACACCUGCUGCCUCCCACCUCCAAGAGCACGAUGUGAACAAUACCAGAUUAGAGGUUCCAAGGCAGCCUCAAGGCAGGGCUGCCUGGGACGGAUGAAUGCAUGGCAGCAAACCAUGGGGGUGAGGGUAGCGGCUCCUCAAACAGAGUAAAGAAGAAAUGGGAAUGGAUACACAAGCAAAGGCUCACAUACUAAUUACCUCCGCUGCCAGCCAGGCGCUCAGAAACCUGUGACUCACUCGGAUGCUCUUAAAUAUACUGCGAAACACAUACACCCACCCUCCACACACCACACCAUACACAACACACACACACACCCCUCAUACCACAUACACCAAACUCUUCUCUCUCUCAUACACUCAUCCCCCAUCUCCCCCCCCCCACAACACACUGUCUACAGAGGAGCCAGAAGCCCCCAGCAGAUGGAGAAACAGUUUCCCCCACCGUUCUGAGUGCUGGCUCCAAAGAGACCAUGGAGGACACUAUAGGACCUUAUUUGUGUGAGCAGGACAAGCACUGCUUCUUUUAGCCCGAGUCUCCCUACCCAAGCACUUCAGAGUCAGAUCCCCCUCCCAUUUCAGAUCCUAUCCUGGGGCUGGGGAGUGGUUCAGUGUGCACACGGUCCAGCAGGUGCUGGGUCCUAAUCCCAGCCCAGAGCAUUGCUAGCCCACUCCAACACUGAGUUGCUCACCUAACCUAGCUUCAGCUUCUUCCUCGUCAAAGUGAGGGUAAGAACAGCACCCAUGGGAUUGUGGUGAGGACGGAGGUAACUAUCAGAAGUGAGAUGGGGGCAUUCACCUGUAAUCCUAGUGUUGGAGAAGCUAAGGCAGGAGGAUCUCAAGUUUGAGCCCAGGUUCAAACAGGAGGUGGGGACUGUGGCAUGGACAAGUGGAUAAAGUGUAGAGCAAGAGUGAAGAGCAGAGUUCAGAUCCCCAGCACUCAUUUAAAAGUUGGGCUUUGGUAUUGGCCAGCCUGUGGCAGGGGGUGGAGGUGGAGAUGGAUUACCCAGGGCAAGCUGUCUAGCUAGCCUAGCUGAAUUGGCAUGUUCAGGAUUUAGUAAGUGACUCUGCUUCAAUAAAUAGUGACAAAAAACCCUACAACUUCUGUCAAGUUGUCAACUUCUGGCCCUCCAUAUGUACAUACAUCCCAUAUGCACACACAGGCAUAAGCAAACAUGAGUGCACAGUCAUGUACACACACACACACACACACACACACACACACACACACACACACACACACACUAUAGGGUGUAGGACACUAGUUAAUGUAAAGAAAUGUAAAAGAUUGGUAAGUAUUCCACUGUCUGCAGGGGUAAGUUCUCCUGCUAUGGAUUUCCUAGGAGGGGCUGUUGCCAUGGAGAUGGAAUCGUGAGGGGCUCUCCCAUCUGUUUAUCUAUCACUGGGCUCCAGCUUCUCCUAUCAUAUGCUACAGCCAACAGGUCUUUAAGGCGUCAAGCCUUCUGAUGGGAACAGGAGUCCUCAGUGUGAGACUCACUGUCAAGGUUGAACUCAGGCCAGUGACCCUGAAACCAGCCAGGGCUAGUAGGUAUUCAGAGCCAAAGCUGCUGGAGACCACACACCAGGCCUUCUCCUGGGAGCCCAGGAACUCAGAUUGUUUUGGUCAUCCUUCCUGUUGAACCUCUUUGGAAACACUUGGCGAUCAGAGAUGAGCCCGGGUUGACAAUGAAGAUUCACCGUCUCUGGAUAUUUCAUAUGAAUUCAGCCACAGCAGUUUUUACAACUGGCCUUGUUUUCUGAGCACACCUUUCCAGUGCACCACUGGGUAGCGCAGCCGGUUGGCACUUUAUUGUUUGAUGGCUACAUGCUGCUUCACUGUGUGUCUUGUGACUUGCACUUAUCCCCUUGAUGAUGGACAGAUGGGUUUUCCCCGGAGUGAUCGUCGUUACUAACACAGCAGGGAACAUUCCGGCUUCCAGUUGCUAAGAAAAAGACUCAGCAUGUACAUGUGUGGCACUGUCAACCAUGUCCAAGGACACAAAUCAUACAGCAAUGGAGGUGAUAAUGAACAGUCUUUGAAAGAAGCACCACAAAAACCCAGGCUAAGGUGUUUGCCCUUAGCAGCAGCUGUUUAUGUGACGGGCUUCAUCUUCCAAACCUGGCCUGAAAGAAAAGGCUUACAAUUUUUAAAGUUAAAAUGAAAGCAUCUUC